This is a long non-coding RNA of Cygnus olor (mute swan), 4569 nucleotides long. RefSeq lists it as uncharacterized. NCBI's taxonomy places the organism in Eukaryota, Metazoa, Chordata, Aves, Anseriformes, Anatidae. The record is from RefSeq and is a predicted model, not a curated record. The transcript is spliced from 2 exons.
AGCUGGUCUCUUUUCAUGUUGUGCCCAGUGACAGGACGAGAGGCAACAGGCACAAACUGAAGCACAGGAGGUUCCGGCUGAAUACGAGGGGGCACUUCGUUACUGUGAGGUGACAGAGCACUGGGACAGGCUGCCCAGAGAGGUUGUGGGGUCUCCUUCUCUGGAGAUAUUCACCCGCCUGGAUGCCCUCCUGCGCAAUGUGCUCUAGGUGAUCCUGCUUGGCAGGGGUUGGAACAGAUGAUCUUCAGAGGUCCUGUCCCACCUCGGCCAUUCUGUGAUUCUGAGACUGCAGAUCCAGAGGCAACAGGUUUGCGAAGAUCAAAUCUCACGGUCUUUCCCCAAAGUGUGAAAAUCUCUAGUUUUUAAACACUUAAUAUUUGGUGACUUCUGUAGGAUAGUCUCCUAGGGAAAAAUGCUCAGUGAAAAGUAUCGUCUGGGCAGCAAAUGCUGAUCAAGAUACAGCUAGCUUCAUGGAGCUGCUCACUAAGUAGGAGGCAGUCUCCAUGCCACAGACUGGAAGCAAUCAUUUGCAAGAACAGGAGUUUUUCAUUCCUGACAUGCAGUUUUGUUUUUCAGAAAGUCUGUGGUUUGGUAUACUGGCCUUGUAAAAGCCAAAAGGAAACGGAAAGGUCGUGGCCAUCAGGGCAUGUCUCUGUCAGUUCCCUUCUCUCCAGGUUUGGGGGGCAGCAGGAGGGAGCACAGCACACAGAUUUCCAGCUGACCAGAGCAGGGUAUGGCAGCAGCUGCAAACACUUCUCUUUCAGGCGGAGAGGUAAUUUCAGCACUUCUGGAGGCUGAUGUUGUACGAACUGCAGUUACUUCAGAGGCCCUUUUUUUUUUCCACAUGUGAAUACUUGGACAAAGCAAAAUAUUUUUGCUUGGGAUUCUUGGACUCCCCUCGUGAUGCUGUUGUUGUACAGAGAUUCUCUGAGUUCUUCAGGCUUUUUGUGGGGUUCCUUUGCGCUGACUCAGAGAAGGAUUUCACAUAUAAGGUGGCAUAUUCUAGUCUGACAGGCUGGUGUAAACCUGGAGUCAUUCCAGGGCAGUAACUGAAUCAAACUCUGGCAGAGAAUUGCGCUGCUAUUUCUAGAUACUAACUUUCCAUGAUUUCUUUCUAACUUGCUUUAUCUGUUUUCUAUUGUUUUUAACAGUGCUAAGAAUAGAACAGAUUGUUGUUACAGUGAGUCUGUUUUUAGAAAAAUUAUAACUAACUAUUUUUACAUCUGGCUCUGUGUUGCAUGUGUGCUUGCUCUCUCCACACUAUUCCCGUGUAUGUCCAAGGCCAGGCGCAUGUCCACAGCGCUGUGGGCAUGGGGAGAGCUGGUGGCAGAAGUGGCUGUCCUUUGUGACAGUACAUCCAUGCCCAUCCUUGUGCUUGUCUUCCAGCUUUGCUUGCUGAGGAUUUUUGCUUCGCAGGAGAAAUGGCCAUCACAUACCAAGAAGGAGCUGUAUUUGUGGGCUGCAUGAACGUACAGUGCUACAAACCUGCAGAAUAUCUUCUUUUUAGGAUAUUGUAUUUGCUGGAUUUUUCUAUUUUCCCCUGCCAUGUUCUGGCUGCUGGGCAAUGCAAGUUGCAAACAGGAGCUGUGAGCUCUUUGUGUUCUUUAACAUGAAGUUUGGGUCAUGGUAGCUACCUGAUUGCAACCACAUUGAGAAGCCUCUGUUUUCUUUCCAUUUCUUUUUAUUUUUUUGAAGAUGUGGCUUAAGUGUGGCUGUGGAUGAAAUGGUAGUCUUGCUUCAUCCCAAGGCACUGGGAUGAUGUUACUGGGCUAUCCAAAGGAAUAAACCCUGGUUGGUUUGAUUGUAACUUUGCCUUAUUUAAGGAGCAGUUCCUAUCAAAAUACUGGACUGAUGGUUAUCAAAUGGGCAUCUGUGAUGAAAGACCUGUGCUUCGAGGAGCUCUUCCCCAGCAGCUUAGCAGCAAAGCACUGAUGGUUUUGCCCCCGGAGCCAGAGAGGACAGGGGGUGUUCCUGAGGGCACCCCAUCUCUGCCGUGUUAACUGCAGUCUAACACAUCCCUGGAUUUUCUGCGUUUGCCGGAGUGAAAUCAAUUACUCUUUCCAUCAGUGCAAAUCCAGUGCCAUUUGAAGGGCGUUUGGAAGAUUUGUGAGGCCUUCUGAUAAUUGCAAGAGUAAAUUAUUUUCUUGCUUAGCUGGGGAGUCCUUUUAUAAUCUUGGAGGCUUUGUGUGGGCAGAGCUUUGUCUGGCUGCUUGGGCUGGGCAGCAUGGGAGGAGGCAGUGCUGUGCCUUCUCUGUCCCUAUCUGCCUCCGUGCCCCAGGCUGGGAGUCACGCCGAUGGUGGGAAGCAGGUCACUGCCGUCCAACCGAGCCAGACUUGAAAGUGGUGGGUAGUAAAGGAAAAUUCUUAAUCUCAAAACAUUUCUAUGUCAAACCUGCCUUCAGCAGUGCAUAGGGAGUGGAUGUGAAGGGACCGUCAGGACUGCAGCACCCGUGGUCCCUGGCUGCCCACUCAUCCCCAGCUCUUCCCUGCCCCGGAGGAGAGGGGGGAGCCUGGGGCUUCGCUCUGUGCUGCGUUUUCUCCAGCAGCUCAUCAGGCCUGCAAACGGACAGGCUGGCAGGCCACUGGUUAAGCCAGAGCCCAUGGCAGUGCAAAUUUCCAUGCCUGUGCAAGGCCUUGCAAAGGCAUUAUCUACGGGCCGCAGAUAGUUGCUGUCACUGGGAACCAAAGGCUUUUGGUGCAACUUCUGCCCUCUCGCAAGGUGGAGUAUUUUCCAGCACUUUCUGCAGAACUUCUUUACGCAUGCAAAUGCUGGCGUGCAGCUCUCCUUCCAGUUUUACUGCUGUUUGCCUCCUGCGAAAUUCCCCCCUGCCCCACUGCACAUAGCAGGGGCAGCGCGGGGAUGUGAUCCUUUGUGGGGUGCCCUGUCCUUACCUUGCUGGGGGUUUUUUGGACACCCGGGCAGUGCAGGGACGCCGUGCUGCAGGGCAUGCAUUGCAGGGCACCCAGCACAGGACAGGAGGAUGCAAUGUGCUUGUGGCAGCUUUCUUGGCCGGGUGUCAAAAGCUGAGCAGAUUUGGUCAAAGAGGGUGAGCCAGGCUUAUUUCAAGAAGAGUUUCCACUGUUACUUGGCUAUAACAUAUGUUUUAUUGAGACAUAGCAAAGUUACAGUCUAAAUUCAGUCAUCUGCCCACUUGGAAAAUGCCCUAGUGUUGGUUUUACAAUUAUCUUUGGUUUUUAAAUUCUCAGCCAUAACUUUCCAGGAAAAUCCCUGAGGAGUCUCUGCAAGCCUAGCUGUGAAAUUAUGUGGGUUUUAUUGAUUUCCGCAGGAUAGAUCUCUGAUCUCCCAUUUUAUGUACUGUAUAAAACAUCUUCACUUACCUGUGCUGUCAGGGAUGCUGGCCAACAGUGAGAUAAUACAUUUGUGGAAACAGAUUUAUUGCUUCGAGCUGAAGAGUAGGAGACAACUGUACUAAUUGCUACGAUAUAAACCAGUCCAUACCAAAUUUUUUUAGGACUGCUGUGUGUUCCUUAGAGAAUGUAUGGAAGUAAAGAGCUGCACUUCAUAGAAACUUUGUACAAUAAUUAGUUUGGCUCGUAUUAAGCCAUUGUGAAUCAACUAACCUGUAAUGAUGAAAUAGGGGUAGGACUAACUUGUGACAGUUACAGAUGUAGUUUAACAGCUUAUCACAUGUGAAAUCGGUUAAUAAGCAAUAGGGCUUAAUGCUGUGAUAGCAUCUGGUUUUGUUUUUUCUACCUCCAGCUCUUGGCUUUAUCCCACGGGAAGAUGCGCCUUCUCUUUGACAGUCGGCUGGAUUUUCCAGCUGCCAAGUCACAGAGUAAGCUUAUUUCAGACCUUGGAUUUCUGGCUGUGAAUCCAAAGUAAUUCAGCCAAUUUCAAAGAAGCUAUUUCAUAUAUGUCUGCAUAUAUAUCUGAUGGAAAGAUUCAGCCUAUCAUCCCAUGUAAAGAGAUCUGUCCAUCUCCUCAUAUAUUGUACUGUGUGAGCUAAUCUUGGCAAUGGAAGUUUUAUCUCUUUCUGUGCAGCCUUAGAAAAUGAUGACUCCUGUGCCUUUUUAUUUCAUUUUUAUUUUUCAAGUUAUCUUUCUCUCUGACUUUCCCUGAGGCUGAGGCAUCCAAGUACUAUCUCUCUAGAGGAGAUUUCAGCAGCAGACAUUAGGAAUGGGGAAAGAGUAGCGUGAUAUGAGUCAUUAAAUAGCAAUAAAGAAAGCAGAUUAUAAACUGGAGCUGUCUCAGAACAGGAACCACCUAUUGUGAAUUUUCAGGAGUUUUGUUUGCUUUUGGUAAAUGCCUGCUUCUCUCUAAAUUGCAAACUGAAAGAUGAAUGGGUGAAUGUGCUUUUUGCAGUUUCACAAUUAGUAGAAGCUUCAGUCAUGGCACAGAAGUGAGUCAAAAGUCCCUAUUUCAUUCCUUCCCCAUUUUUCACUCAUCUUUGGUUUCUCACUUACCAAGGUAUUAAUCAUGUUUUCGAGGGGAGUUUGGGCUGUAAUAGCACCUUUUCUUGACAGCCAGCUUCAGUUCCAAGAGGGAAAAUCCAAAACCAGCCAACAAACUGAAAAAAAAACACCAUAAGACACCAAAACCAAGAAAAA